UUCCGGUUGAUCCUGCCGGAGGCUACUGCUAUUGGAGUUCGAUUAAGCCAUGCGAGUCUAAGGGAUCUUCGGAUCCCUGGCGUAAUGCUCAGUAACACGUGGAUAAUCUACCCUCAGGUGGGGCAUAAACCCGGGAAACUGGGGCCAAUUCCCCAUAAAUACAGAUGGCUGGAAUGCUUCUGUAUUCAAAGCUCCGGCGCCUGAGGAUGAGUCUGCGGCCUAUCAGGUUGUAGUCAGGGUCAAGACCUGACUAGCCAGCGACGGGUAUGGGGUGUGAGAGCACUUGCCCAGAGAUGGUUUCUGAGACACGAAACCAGGCCCUACGGGGCGCAGCAGGCGCGAAAACUUCGCAAUGCGGGAAACCGUGACGAGGGAACUCCGAGUGUCUAUGCAUUGCAUAGACUGUUUUUUAGCCUAAAUAGCUAUUAGAGUAAGGGGUGGGCAAGACCGGUGCCAGCCGCCGCGGUAACACCGGCACCCCGAGUGGUAGCCACUAUUAUUGGGCCUAAAGCGUUCGUAGCCGGUUUGGUAAAUUCUUGGGUAAAUCGUACCGCUCAACGGUGCGGAUUCCGGGGACACUACCAGACUUGAGACCGGGGGAGAUCAGAGGUACUUGCGGGGGAGCGGUGAAAUGUUGUAAUCCCGCAGGGACCACCAGUGGCGAAGGCGUCUGAUCAGAACGGCUCUGACGGUGAGGAACGAAACCCUGGGGCGCAAACGGGAUUAGAUACCCCGGUAGUCCAGGGCGUAAACGCUGCUGACUUGGUGUUGGGGAUCCUACGAGGAUGUCCAGUGCUGGCGCGAAGGUAUUAAGUCAGCCGCCUGGGGAGUACGGUCGCAAGACUGAAACUUAAAGGAAUUGGCGGGGGAGCACUGCAACGUGUGGAGCGUGCGGUUUAAUUGGAUUCAACGCCCG
This 916-nucleotide ribosomal RNA is filed under the name uncultured archaeon. RNAcentral's name for it is "bacterial SSU rRNA". It matches the Rfam family "Archaeal small subunit ribosomal RNA", at positions 1 to 921 of the family's 1478-position model. The record is from RNAcentral.